This is a long non-coding RNA of Acanthopagrus latus (yellowfin seabream), 1354 nucleotides long. RefSeq lists it as uncharacterized. The record is from RefSeq and is a predicted model, not a curated record. The transcript is spliced from 3 exons. NCBI's taxonomy places the organism in Eukaryota, Metazoa, Chordata, Actinopteri, Spariformes, Sparidae.
GAGAAACACUUGAAACAGGGUAGGCAGUGAUGGGCUGGAAAAGGUGAAGACACAGAAAGGAGGGAACGGCUGAAGAGGGAGAUGCAGAGCAGGUGUGGACAGCAAGAAAAAAAGGUGGAGGGCAAAGUGGCUGCAUUCACAACUCACGUUCGCCAAGCCAGAGACCACCAUUCAACACUGUGUUUCAACAUUUUUGUCUUUUGGGAAAAGAAAUCCACCCAACAUCAGCGUGCAAUGCAUCUUGGGACACGGUGGGCCACAAAGGAAAUGCCCGCGAAGCAAAGGCUGCAUUCCUCAUCCACAUUUGACGGACCCUUCCAAAUGAAACAGCCUUGUCGUGGUCUUCAAAUGCAAAAUGAGAUAUCACGUUGAAUCUGAUUUUCACGUGUUGGUUUUGUUCCUUGUAGUAAAUUCUGUUCCAGGGUCUUCAUUUCAACUUAUGACAUAGCGAUGAAAACCGUAUUUCGAGUUAAAUGCUGUGACUGAGUGGUUUAUGUACAGAACUCUGAAGGCUGAAGAGACUAAGCUUUAAAUCCUGUUUAUUCUAUUUUAUAUUACACACAUCAUUUUUGCACUAAAGUCACUCAUCAUUUUCCAUGUUUUUAUACAUAGUUAUCCAUCACUAUUUGGUUAGGGUUAGGAAAACAUGGUUUUGAUUGUAAUCGACUUUCAUAACAUGAAACACGUGUUCGUAUUUUUUCCCCAGUCUUUUUGCUAAGCUACGACGUAACGAAAAUACGCGAUGGUCAGUUUCAAUGCAGGUCUUGGAGCAACUCUAAUCAUGAUGUUCGAGGAACAACAGCAACAUGGCCGUGUCGGAUCUAUGUACAAAUGUGAUCUAAGUGUAAAUAACCUGAAUGUUUUAACAUGUUUAAACGUUGGAUUAUUCCUAAAAUCACCACAGAACAUAGCUGAAGUUUACUUUACAGCAGCUUGACUUUUUGUGUACUGCAUUCACAAAACAUGCACUGAUGUCUAUAAUGAUGGUCGAAACCACAGGAAUUCUCUGUUAACAGCAGAUUUUUACCUCUAAGGACCAAAUAUACAUCUCUCACUCUCUCUAACACACACACGCACACAGCGCUGCAGUGAUUGGUAUUGCAGCAAAUGAUAUUUGAGCAGCGGGGCUCUUUGACAUAGCAGCGAUGUGUAGGCUGUGGCCUUCGUACAAUAGCCUCGCCCCCCUGGGGAAUCUGGAUCCCAUCUUUAGUUUGAAGCUCAUUAAGCCGAUUAUUCCCAUAAUCUCUCUGAUGGCAGGCGGAAUAAAGAAACACACACUAAUAAUUGCCUGCUUACAUUUUGUUCUGUUUGGCCCCGUCGACCGCUUAAAAAGGGAGACUGAAAGAUACACACU